AUGGCUGUCUCGUCGCCGCUGCCGCGGUGGGCGCCCACGCCGAGCCCGUCGCGGCCGCUCUGGCUCUGGGGCGGCGGCACGCCCGACGCGCGAACCGGCUCCGGCGGCGAAGGCUGGUCGCUGGGCAGGAUAUUCCCGUGGGCGAGCGCCUGGCAGCGCCGUGCUCCCGCGGGCGUGGACGGCCGCGGGCCUGCGGGUUUCGACGGCGUGGAAGUAGCGCCGUCCACGAGGGCGGCGGUGGCGCCUGCGCCGGUCCGGUGGGCGGGCACGGACGAGGACCCCGGGGUGUUCCUGACGUGGGAGGACGUGUGCGUCUCGGUGGCCGCCGGCGCCUACGGGGCCCAGCCGGUGAGCAUCCUGAGCGGGAUCACCGGGCACGCCGGGCCGGGGGAGGUGCUCGCCAUCAUGGGGCCGUCCGGCUGCGGCAAGACCACGCUUCUCGAUACUCUCGCAGGAAGGUUGGGGCCUGGGAUCACCCAGACCGGGUCGAUUCUCAUCAACGGCCGCCGGGAGAAGCUCGCCUUCGGAACCUCGGCCUACGUGACCCAAGACAACGUGCUGAUGUCGACGAUGUCGGUGCGGGAGGCCGUCUACUACUCGGCGCAGCUGCAGCUGCCGGGGAGCAUGCCGGCGGUGGAGAAGCGGGCGCACGCGGACGCCGUGAUCCGGGAGAUGGGGCUGGGCGACGCCAUGGACACGCGCAUCGGCGGGCGGAUGACCAAGGGCAUCAGCGGCGGGCAGCGGAAGCGGGUCACCAUCUGCAUCGAGAUGCUCACCCGACCCCGGCUGCUCUUCCUCGACGAGCCCACCAGCGGGCUCGACAGCGCCGCCUCCUACCACGUCAUGAGCCACAUCGCCAGGGUCGCCGCAAGGGAGGGCAUGACUGUCGUCGCCGCCGUGCACCAGCCCAGCGGCGACGUCUUCGACCUCUUCCACCGCCUCUGCCUCCUCGCCUACGGUCGGACCGUCUUCUUCGGACCCGCCUCCGACGCCAAUCAGUUCUUCACUGAAAGUGGCUUCCCAUGCCCACACCUGAGGAACCCUUCUGACCACUUCCUGAGGACAAUCAACAAAGAUUUUGACGAGGUAGAAAUUGUCGAGAGUUCCAAAGCUAGGAGAAAAACUGCGGCUGAAGCAAUAGAGAUCCUGACAGAUGCUUACCAGUCCCCCGCUUAUUCAGAGAAAACAAUGGACCGGAUAGCUGAGAUGAAAGGGAUAGGUGGAGCUCCAUUUAGGAAGAGGGAGCAAGCCGGCUUCUCAACGAAGCUCUUUGUGCUCACCAGAAGGUCAUUUGUGAAUAUGCACAGGGACAUAGGAUACUACUGGAUGCGUUUGGGUGUUUACCUGGGCAUUGGCAUUUGUCUUGGCACCAUAUUCUACCAACUUGGCCACAGCUACAGUUCCAUCCAGUCUCGAUGUGAAGUCAUAAUGUAUACGACAGCCCUUCUUACUUUCAUGGCUAUUGGAGGAUUCCCCUCUUUUGUAGAGGACGUAAAGGUAUUCAGAAGGGAGAGGCUGAGCGGCCAUUACGGCGUGGCAGAGUUUGUGAUCUCAAACACGCUGUCGGCCACUCCAUACCUGGCCGUCAUCGCCGUGAUCCCCGGCGCGAUGCUGUACUACCUUACUGGGCUAACAAAAGGGCCUGACCGCUUCGCCUACUUCGUUGUCAACCUGUGCAUGUGCACAAUGCUGGUGGAGAGCAUGAUGAUGAUCAUCGCCGUCAUCGUCCCAGACUUCCUGAUGGGGAUCAUUGUUGGGGCCGGGGUGCAAGGGGUGAUGAUGCUCAAUGGCGGUUUCUUCCGCCUCCCUAACGAACUCCCAAAGCCAGUGUGGAAGUACCCUUGCUACUACAUCUCCUUCCACAAGUACGCGGUGCAGGGGUUCUACAAGAACGAGUUCAUAGGGCAGACGUUCCCAAGCGACCAGCUGGUCGAGAAGAAUGUCACCAUCAGUGGCCUUCGGGUGCUGCAAGAGAAGCUGCAGGUGGAGAUGGGGUACUCCAAGUGGGUCAACAUUGCCAUCCUUUGUGGGAUGGUGGUAGUGUACAGGGUCCUGUUCUUCGCAAUUGUCAAGAUUGCGGAGGAAGUCAGGCCAAAACUAAGGGGGAUGAGAUGCAAAUUGUGUAAAUAG
Molecule: ribosomal RNA, 2130 nt
Filed under: Triticum aestivum (bread wheat)
Lineage: Eukaryota; Viridiplantae; Streptophyta; Magnoliopsida; Poales; Poaceae
Description: partial small subunit ribosomal RNA
Source: RNAcentral